This 492-nucleotide ribosomal RNA is filed under the name uncultured bacterium. Its description in RNAcentral is "partial 16S ribosomal RNA". It matches the Rfam family "Bacterial small subunit ribosomal RNA", at positions 29 to 507 of the family's 1533-position model. The record is from RNAcentral.
AAUGAACGCUGGCGGUAGGCCUAACACAUGCAAGUCGAACGGCAGCACAGUAAGAGCUUGCUCUUACGGGUGGCGAGUGGCGGAAGGGUGAGGAAUACAUCGAAAUCUACUUCUUCGUGGGGGAUAACGCAGGGAAACUUACGCGAAUACCGCAUACAACCUACGGGUGAGGGCAGGCGUUCUUCGGACCUUGUGCGAUGGAAUGAGCCGAUGACGGAUUCGCUAGAUUGCGGGGUAAAGGCGUACAACGGCGACGAUCGGUAGCUGGUCCGAGAGGAUCAUCCCCCACCCGGUAUCUGAGACACGGCCCCGACUCUUACACGAGGCAGCAGUCCAGAAUAUUACACGAUGGAGGAGAGGCUGAUCCAGCCAUACCGCGUGAGUGAUGAACGCCUUCGGGCUGGUGAGCCCUUUUGUUGGUAGAGAAAAACAGCACUUUUAUCCCCGGCGGUAAUGACGGUACCCAAAGAAUAAGCACCGGCUAACUUCGUG